This 509-nucleotide ribosomal RNA is filed under the name uncultured bacterium. RNAcentral describes it as "partial 16S ribosomal RNA". It matches the Rfam family "Bacterial small subunit ribosomal RNA", at positions 28 to 507 of the family's 1533-position model. The record is from RNAcentral.
GACGAACGCUGGCGGCGUGCUUAACACAUGCAAGUCGAACGAAGAGCGAUGGAAGCUUGCUUCUAUCAAUCUUAGUGGCGAACGGGUGAGUAACGCGUAAUCAACCUGCCCUUCAGAGGGGGACAACAGUUGGAAACGACUGCUAAUACCGCAUACGAUCUAAUCUCGGCAUCGAGGAUAGAUGAAAGGUGGCCUCUACAUGUAAGCUAUCACUGAAGGAGGGGAUUGCGUCUGAUUAGCUAGUUGGAGGGGUAACGGCCCACCAAGGCGAUGAUCAGUAGCCGGUCUGAGAGGAUGAACGGCCACAUUGGGACUGAGACACGGCCCAGACUCCUACGGGAGGCAGCAGUGGGGAUCUUCCGCAAUGGACGAAAGUCUGACGGAGCAACGCCGCGUGAGUGAUGACGGCCUUCGGGUUGUAAAGCUCUGUUAAUCGGGACGAAAGGCCUUCUUGCGAAUAGUGAGAAGGAUUGACGGUACCGGAAUAGAAAGCCACGGCUAACUACGUG